GUCUGGCAGCACAUAUACUGAAAUUGGAAUGAUAUAGAGAUGAUUAGCAUGACCCCUCUGCAAGGAUGCCAUGCAAAUUCAUGAAGUGUUCCAUAUUGUU
RNAcentral lists this small nuclear RNA (100 nucleotides) under Chinchilla lanigera (long-tailed chinchilla). The record is from RNAcentral. Lineage: Eukaryota; Metazoa; Chordata; Mammalia; Rodentia; Chinchillidae.